Molecule: long non-coding RNA, 439 nt
Organism: Ostrea edulis (European flat oyster)
Lineage: Eukaryota; Metazoa; Mollusca; Bivalvia; Ostreida; Ostreidae
Exons: 3
Source: RefSeq, a predicted model, not a curated record
CGUAAAGAACACUGAGAAAUAUAAAUAAAACGAACGGGUUGAAUUUAUAUAGAAGAGGUACCAAGCUUUCCAUAUGAUUCCAAAAGUAGCCCAGAAGAUGGAUAUUCUAAAAUUAUUUGUACUCCUUCUGUCCGUAAUUGGUGAUACAUCGUCAUCUUUACAUACCAUCACCUUAAAGAUGAAUAUCUCAAUCCUAAGAGUUUGGACCACAAAAUGUUAUCAGGACGCUGGUACUGGCAGAUGGAUUCACAAAGCGGGAAGCCAGGCUUUAGAGACAACAACUGUGGCGAUAUUUUGGUUCAAUGUGACGGCACACUGAUCAACACUCUGUAUUCUUGGUUUCCGGAAGUGGAGGAAUGCCGCGUCACGGCGGCGAAAUAUCAUCCUAUCAGUACGGAGAGGGAUGUGAAGUUCCUAGUCACCCGGAUGUCCACAAACG